CCUACGGGGGGCAGCAGUGGGGAAUAUUGGACAAUGGGGGCAACCCUGAUCCAGCCAUGCCGCGUGUGUGAAGAAGGCCCUCGGGUUGUAAAGCACUUUCAGUGAGGAAGAACGCCUGGUGGUUAAUACCCAUCAGGAAAGACAUCACUCACAGAAGAAGCACCGGCUAACUCCGUGCCAGCAGCCGCGGUAAUACGGAGGGUGCGAGCGUUAAUCGGAAUUACUGGGCGUAAAGCGCGCGUAGGUGGCUUGAUAAGCCGGUUGUGAAAGCCCCGGGCUCAACCUGGGAACGGCAUCCGGAACUGUCAAGCUAGAGUGCAGGAGAGGAAGGUAGAAUUCCCGGUGUAGCGGUGAAAUGCGUAGAGAUCGGGAGGAAUACCAGUGGCGAAGGCGGCCUUCUGGACUGACACUGACACUGAGGUGCGAAAGCGUGGGUAGCAAACAGGAUUAGACACCCUAGUAGUC
Molecule: ribosomal RNA, 465 nt
Filed under: Vreelandella stevensii
Lineage: Bacteria; Pseudomonadati; Pseudomonadota; Gammaproteobacteria; Oceanospirillales; Halomonadaceae
Description: partial 16S ribosomal RNA
Rfam family: Bacterial small subunit ribosomal RNA
Source: RNAcentral